GACGAACGCUGGCGGCGUGCUUAACACAUGCAAGUCGAACGGAAAGGCCCUGCUUUUGUGGGGUGCUCGAGUGGCGAACGGGUGAGUAACACGUGAGUAACCUGCCCUUGACUUUGGGAUAACUUCAGGAAACUGGGGCUAAUACCGGAUAGGAGCUCCUGCUGCAUGGUGGGGGUUGGACAGUUUCGGCGGUUGGGGAUGGACUCGCGGCUUAUCAGCUUGUUGGUGGGGUAGUGGCUUACCAAGGCUUUGACGGGUAGCCGGCCUGAGAGGGUGACCGGCCACAUUGGGACUACGAUACGGCCCAGACUCCUACGGGAGGCAGCAGUGGGGAAUAUUGCACAAUGGGCGGAAGCCUGAUGCAGCAACGCCGCGUGCGGGAUGACGGCCUUCGUGUUGUAAACCGCUUUCGCCUGUGACGAAGCGUGAGUGACGGUAAUGGGUAAAGAAGCACCGGCUAACUACGUG
This 468-nucleotide ribosomal RNA is filed under the name uncultured bacterium. RNAcentral's name for it is "partial 16S ribosomal RNA". It matches the Rfam family "Bacterial small subunit ribosomal RNA", at positions 28 to 507 of the family's 1533-position model. The record is from RNAcentral.